This 497-nucleotide ribosomal RNA is filed under the name uncultured bacterium. RNAcentral's name for it is "partial 16S ribosomal RNA". It matches the Rfam family "Bacterial small subunit ribosomal RNA", at positions 28 to 507 of the family's 1533-position model. The record is from RNAcentral.
GAUGAACGCUGGCGGCGUGCCUAAUACAUGCAAGUCGAGCGAACAGACGAGGAGCUUGCUCCUCUGACGUUAGCGGCGGACGGGUGAGUAACACGUGGAUAACCUACCUAUAAGACUGGGAUAACUUCGGGAAACCGGAGCUAAUACCGGAUAAUAUAUUGAACCGCAUGGUUCAAUAGUGAAAGACGGUUUUGCUUUCACUUAUAGAUAGAUCCGCGCCGCAUUAGCUAGUUGGUAAGGUAACGGCUUACCAAGGCAACGAUGCGUAGCCGACCUGAAAGGGUGAUCGGCCACCUGGGAACUGAGACACGGCCCCGACUCCGACGGGAGGCAGCAGUAGGGAAUCUUCCGCAAUGGGCGAAAGCCUGACGGAGCAACGCCGCGUGAGUGAUGAAGGUCUUCGGAUCGGUAAAUGCUGUUAUUAGGGAAGAACAAAUGUUUUAGUAACGAGGCACGUCUUGACGGUACCUAAUCAGAAAGCCACGGCUAACUACGUG